UGCAUAUCCAAUAAGCGGAGGAAAAGAAACCAACAGGGAUUGCCCCAGUAACGGCGAGUGAAGCGGCAACAGCUCAAAUUUGAAAUCUGGCCCUCCCCGGGGGGCCCGAGUUGUAAUUUGCAGAUUGUGCUUUUGGCGAGGGGCCUUCCGAGUUCCCUGGAACGGGACGCCAUAGAGGGUGAGAGCCCCGUCUGGUCGGCCGCCGAGCCUCUGUAAAGCACCUUCGACGAGUCGAGUAGUUUGGGAAUGCUGCUCAAAAUGGGAGGUAUAUGUCUUCUAAAGCUAAAUACCGGCCAGAGACCGAUAGCGCACAAGUAGAGUGAUCGAAAGAUGAAAAGCACCUUGAAAAGGGGGUUAAACAGUACGUGAAAUUGUUGAAAGGGAAGCGCUCGCGACCAGACUUGGGCCCGGCGGAUCACCCAGCGUUCUCGCUGGGGCACUCCGCCUCGUCCCAGGCCAGCAUCGGUUCGUGCCGGGGGACAAAGGCGGCGGGAACGUGGCUCCCCCGGGAGUGUUAUAGCCCGCCGUGCAAUGCCCUGGGGCGGACCGAGGAUUCGCGCAUCUGCAUGGAUGCUGGCGUAAUGGUCACCAGCGACCCGUCUUGA
This 605-nucleotide ribosomal RNA is filed under the name Aschersonia hypocreoidea. RNAcentral's name for it is "LSU rRNA". It matches the Rfam family "Eukaryotic large subunit ribosomal RNA", at positions 37 to 657 of the family's 3401-position model. Lineage: Eukaryota; Fungi; Ascomycota; Sordariomycetes; Hypocreales; Clavicipitaceae. The record is from RNAcentral.